Cyanistes caeruleus (blue tit) is the source of this 293-nucleotide long non-coding RNA. RefSeq lists it as uncharacterized. The record is from RefSeq and is a predicted model, not a curated record. Lineage: Eukaryota; Metazoa; Chordata; Aves; Passeriformes; Paridae.
GAGUGGCAAACACAAAAACUGGUUAGGCACGUUAUUGCCCUGUGGAGCUGCCAGCAGCGGAGUCCUGCCUGGCUCUGAUCUCUGUCUUCUGUCCAGGUAGUGCUGCUUGUAUAUUGCCUUCUGUCAAAGCAACUCUCUACACAGGCAGUGCCCAGUUAAACUGCUGGGAAAUUUUCCCGUGGAGCAGACGGUGAAGGAAUGAGAGCAUCCCUGAGACCGGCCCAUGGUACAAAUGGAUUGCAUGAAUGGUGCAGGAAAUGACUGAAAUACAGGGACUGUGGAGAAAACUCUUU